RNAcentral lists this unclassified non-coding RNA (348 nucleotides) under soil metagenome. Its description in RNAcentral is "partial contains 5.8S ribosomal RNA, internal transcribed spacer 2, and large subunit ribosomal RNA". The stretch from base 1 to 120 matches the Rfam family "5.8S ribosomal RNA", at positions 35 to 154 of the family's 154-position model. The record is from RNAcentral.
GAUGAAGAACGUAGCGAAAUGCGAUACGUAAUGUGAAUUGCAGAAUUCAGUGAAUCAUCGAGUCUUUGAACGCACAUUGCGCCCCCUGGUAUUCCGGGGGGCAUGCCUGUUCGAGCGUCAUUUCAACCCUCAAGCCCCCGGGUUUGGUGUUGGGGAUCGGCUCUGCCCUUCUGGGCGGUGCCGCCCCCGAAAUACAUUGGCGGUCUCGCUGCAGCCUCCAUUGCGUAGUAGCUAACACCUCGCAACUGGAACGCGGCGCGGCCAUGCCGUAAAACCCCAACUUCUGAAUGUUGACCUCGGAUCAGGUAGGAAUACCCGCUGAACUUAAGCAUAUCAAUAAGCGGAGGA